RNAcentral lists this ribosomal RNA (497 nucleotides) under uncultured bacterium. Its description in RNAcentral is "partial 16S ribosomal RNA". It matches the Rfam family "Bacterial small subunit ribosomal RNA", at positions 28 to 507 of the family's 1533-position model. The record is from RNAcentral.
GAUGAACGCUGGCGGCGUGCCUAAUACAUGCAAGUCGAGCGAACAGACGAGGAGCUUGCUCCUCUGACGUUAGCGGCGCACGGGUGAGUAACACGUGGAUAACCUACUUAUAAGACUGGGAUAACUUCGGGAAACCGGCGCUAAUACCGGAUAAUAUAUUGAACCGCAUGGUGCAAUAGUGAAUGACGGUUUUGCUGUCACUUAUAGAUGGAUCCGCGCCGCAUUGGCUAGUUGGUAAGGUAACGGCUUACCAAGGCAACGAUGCGUAGCCGACCGGAGAGGGUGAUCGGCCACCCUGGAACUGAGACGCGGUCCAGACUCCUACGGGAGGCAGCAGUAGGGAAUCUGCCGCAAUGGGCGAAAGCCUGACGGAGCAACGCCACGUGAGUGAUGAAGGUCUUCGGAUCGUAAAACUCUGUUAUUAGGGAAGAACAAAUGUGUAAGUAACUAUGCACGUCUUGACGGUACCUAAUCAGAAAGCCACGGCUAACUACGUG